AGCUAGGGAACAAAACCAGAACAACCUGCUGAGCUUCCGUGGCUGCACCAGCUGAGGUACCACCCUGCUGUGCUCCUUUCCUGACCUUUACAACUGAAGAGACACCUCUCUCUUCCAGGAGGAGGUUUUCAGAAAAGGUGUUCUGAUGCCCAAACAUUAAGUAUAACAGAACACCCAUGUCUUUUCACUCUGUUUCAAGAGGUGAUCUCACCCUGCCCAGAGACCUCUGAAGCACUUCUAUCACUGCCAGCUCUUCAGCACCAACAUUAACGAUUUACUGUUGCCCACGUGUCUAAAUACAGUCUUCAGCAUCAACAGACAGAUCAAUCCCUUCUAUCUACUGUCAUCAUUUUCACGUCCCCCUUGUAGUCUAGGGAUGUGGGCUUCGGGAAACCAGGCAUCUGACGGAGACCACACAAAAUGUUGGAGAACAACACAAGGCACUGAGUCCCUUCCCAGAACCUUAAAACUAAAAAAGGUUUUUAUCUUCCUUCCUUUAAGCCAAAUAAAUACCUCAGCUUCUGCAGUUCUGGUCAAACUUCAGGAAAUGACCUGUGUUAGUGUAAAUGUUAAUGUUUCAUUAUCUUGGAGUAAAAUAAAGAGAAAGUGGAAAACCAGCUCUUCAUCUGCUUAAUGACAAAGAAGGAAUGAAAGGCCAGAGGUUUCCAAGUGGUUUCAUGGUUCAAUCCACAGCCAGCACUGGCACCAGGCUCUUCCCUCCAAACGAUGGCCAUACUACCUGGUGUUUAAAACAUAAUUCCUCUGCAUUUCUCCAAUUCCAGCAAUUUUCAUUACGAGAUCAUUUCAGUUGGGGUGUGUGCUUUAAAGCAAGUUACACUGGUACAAUUUCCCAUUUACUUCUCGGAGUUCUGCAGCAGAACAUUAUGUAUCUCUAGGAACACUUAUAUCCACCUUAGUUGGUCUUGUCACCAUUUGGACUGCCUGGUUACUUUACAUUGCCUUUUACUACUUGGCAUCUCUUUUUAUCAGGCUCUGUGUCCCUUUCUGUUCGCAUCUAGAGCCCUGCAUUUAAAGCAUUUUCUAACAGAGCUUCUUUGUAUCAAGCUUCAGCUAGGGGAAGGACAAACGCUCUGCCUAGAGGCUGGCCCCAAAAUCAAAUGGUGACUACAGUUAGCACAGCUGCAGAAACUUGCAUUCCCUUGGCAUGUGGUCUGCGAGAGCACUGCCGUGUUCACCAGAGCAGGAAGAUCAAUGGGAUGCAUAGAGUGGAAAACCUUGCCUGAAACCUCUCACCCUGCCCCAGGGGCUGCUAAGCUCUGCAGCUGCUUCUUCUUCCUCAGAAGUGCAUCUCUAAGAGCCAGCUGGAAUAUGAAACAAGAGAGGAAAAUUCAGGUAUAAAUAAAUCCCCCAGGCCAGGAUCUAUUUGAGGCUGUGUGGCUGUUUGUCACCUGUCACCAGCCAUGAACGACCAAAUCCUACAUCUGCUGGCAAUCAGAAGUUACAUCACCAGCCUGUGGGUCAAAGAAAGCACUCGUCAGCAUUUCAUAUCCUACCUGCUCUCCUCUUCAUCAUCUAUUUCAAUAUUUUUCCUCUUUGCAGCUUUGCCCGGUGCAGAAUUGAUUUCUCUGGAGAGCUGGGCAAGACGUAUUCUGUGGAAAUCUUCCUGAGUCAGCAGCCUACUUGUACUGACUGCUGCAGCUUUAGCUUUUCGUUCCUCUACGGGCAUGCUUUUGAUCUUCUCUGCCUUUUGAAAAAAAGAACAAAAGUAUCAUCACCCUGACUUUCACAAGCAAAUUCUAUGCUAUAUAAUCAAUGAGCCUUGCCUCCCAAAUAUCUACAUAAGAAUAACAUUGCUUGAAAAUGAUCCAAACAGUUGUCAGGACUCUUAGAAGUUUCAUAUCCUAUGUGUGGUUUUGGAAGAAAGGAGUACCUCCAUUUCUUAAUAUUUCAAAGCAGAUAAAAGCACUCACCAUGCAAACAUUAUAGCUUUGCAAUGGAAUAGAAUUACCCAGCUUUCUCCCUUCAUCCUGACAAUACACAUUUCAGCACAGGUGCACAAGUAUACUUCACUGACGCUGGUCAAAUUACUCUGUGUAGUUCGUUAAAAGCAGUCACGUGAAAGUACAGAGCAAGAGAAUUUGGACUGCUAUUAGCAAGUCCCAUUUCUAUUUAGGGUAGAAGGCACUUGGAACUCACCACUUCUUGCUGCUCCUCAUCCGAAGAGUGGUGCACAUCAAUCCACUCUCCAUCUUCACCGUCAUCCUCCUCACUCAUACUAGCACUUUCCCAUCCAUCUGCUCAAGGGAAGACAUGCACAGAGCUGCUAGUAUAAACCUGGUUCAACUGUUUGAGUUUCAGACAAUUUAAGGGUGGAUCCCAAGCUCUCACCGCCUUUCUCUAUCUGCUAACUAUAUGCCCAGGGACAUGCUCACCAAACAGAUGAACUGCAGGAUCUUGACAUCCCACAUUACAAAAAAGAUUGAUGAUACUUCACACGUCUGGUCAUUUUAAAGUAAAUCCACGGCUGAACAGACCAGUAGCUCCAAUGCCCUCCCACUGACAAGCUCAGCAACCAAAUUACAUCUGGCUUGCAGUGUCAAAGCCUCACAUGGCACAACUCUGGCAGUGACUGAUUUGAAGCCGAAAUGUCUUUCUGCAGCUCUGAUCUCUUAGUGUCCAUAGCUGUACGUGCACUAUUUUUUUCAAUAGUGAUAACCACAUGGCAGUGUAAGAUCUUUGAACACACUUCUAGAACAAACCUUGUAAAGCACCUGUUCUAUCUUGUAAUUAUUGUGAGCUGCAGUCUCCCUGAUGCAUUUUGUUGUUAUGAACGUACAAUAAACGUGCAACAAUGGUGAUCUCAUUCACUCAGAACAAAGCUAACCGUAGAAGAUACCUAAGGAGUUUGCAAGAAGUUCGCAUUGCAAUACGCUGUACCGUAACCUAUGCUUUCUAAAGCAUAACGCUCAAAUUAUGUUAAAGGCUCUCAAAACAAGGAACUGCAUUUUGGAGAGACUCUGAAGAAAUGCACUAGUUUGCAAAUGUUAAUUGUAUCGUGCUGUUCCCUCUUCCAUCUCUCAGUGUACAUGGUAUGAAGAAACACAGUGACCAUCAGAUCUUUCUGGAUAAACUGUAUUUAACUCAAGGACAAGUAUCAGUGCUUCACAAUAGACAAACACAUAUGUGCUGCGUGGCUUGCAUAUGAGAGCAGCAAAUGAAAUGCCAAAAUGAACACCAAAGUUUUAAGCCCAAAUAAAACCUUAGCAGCGAUGAUGCACAAAAUUGAAGUAAUAAAGAAAGGCUUACCUUCUU
Gallus gallus (chicken) is the source of this 3273-nucleotide long non-coding RNA. RefSeq lists it as uncharacterized. The record is from RefSeq and is a predicted model, not a curated record. NCBI's taxonomy places the organism in Eukaryota, Metazoa, Chordata, Aves, Galliformes, Phasianidae. The transcript has 3 exons.